AGAGUUUGAUCCUGGCUCAGAAUCAACGCUGGCGGCGUGCCUCAGACAUGCAAGUCGAACGCGAAAGUUCCCUUCGGGGAGCAAGUAGAGUGGCGCACGGGUGAGUAACACGUAGGUAAUCUACCUUUGGAUUGGGAAUAACACCGAGAAAUCGGUGCUAAUACCGAAUAAUGCAGCGGCACCUAAUGGUGACAGUUGUUAAAGCGGGGGAUCGCAAGACCUCGCGUCUAAAGAGGAGCCUGCGGCGGAUUAGCUAGUUGGUAAGGUAACGGCUUACCAAGGCGAUGAUCCGUAGCCGGCCUGAGAGGGCGGUCGGCCACACUGACACUGACAUACGGGUCAGACUCCUACGGGAGGCAGCAGUCGGGAAUUUUGGGCAAUGGGCGAAAGCCUGACCCAGCAACGCCGCGUGAAGGAUGAAAUCCCUCGGGAUGUAAACUUCGCAAGAACGGGAAGAAUAAGUGAGAGUUAACACCUCUUACGAUGACGGUACUGUUUGUAAGCUCCGGCUAACUCCGUGCCAGCAGCCGCGGUAAUACGGGGGGAGCAAGCGUUGUUCGGAUUUACUGGGCGUAAAGGGCGCGUAGGCGGCCACCGCAAGUCGACUGUGAAAUCUCCGGGCUUAACUCGGAAAAGGUCAGCCGAUACUGCGGGGCUAGAGUGCAGAA
This 668-nucleotide ribosomal RNA is filed under the name uncultured Acidobacteriota bacterium. RNAcentral's name for it is "bacterial SSU rRNA". It matches the Rfam family "Bacterial small subunit ribosomal RNA", at positions 8 to 653 of the family's 1533-position model. Lineage: Bacteria; Pseudomonadati; Acidobacteriota. The record is from RNAcentral.